This 400-nucleotide ribosomal RNA is filed under the name uncultured bacterium. RNAcentral describes it as "bacterial SSU rRNA". It matches the Rfam family "Bacterial small subunit ribosomal RNA", at positions 355 to 769 of the family's 1533-position model. The record is from RNAcentral.
UAGGGAAUAUUGCGCAAUGGAGGAAACUCUGACGCAGCGACGCCGCGUGAGUGAUGAAGGCCUUCGGGUCGUAAAGCUCUGUCGCAGGGGACUAAGAAAGUGAAGGUACUCUGCAAGAAAGGAUCGGCUAACUUCGUGCCAGCAGCCGCGGUAAGACGAGGGAUCCUAGCGUUGUUCGGAAUCAUUGGGCGUAAAGCGGGUGUAGGCGGCUCCAUAAGUCAGGUGUGAAAGCCCAGGGCUCAACCCUGGAAGUGCAUUUGAUACUGUGGAGCUUGAGUGCGAUAGAGGUAAGUAGAAUUCCUGGUGUAGUGGUGAAAUACGUAGAUAUCAGGAGGAAUACCGGAGGCGAAGGCGGCUUACUGGAUCGACACUGACGCUCAGACCCGAAAGUGUGGGGAUC